RNAcentral lists this ribosomal RNA (301 nucleotides) under uncultured bacterium. RNAcentral's name for it is "partial 16S ribosomal RNA". It matches the Rfam family "Bacterial small subunit ribosomal RNA", at positions 509 to 807 of the family's 1533-position model. The record is from RNAcentral.
CAGCAGCCGCGGGAAUACGGAGGGGGCUAGCGUUGUUCGGAAUUACUGGGCGUAAAGCGCACGUAGGCGGCUUGGUAAGUUAGAGGUGAAAGCCCGGAGCUCAACUCCGGAAUUGCCUUUAAGACUGCCGAGCUAGUAGGUGAGAGAGGUAAGUGGAAUUCUGAGUGUAGAGGUGAAAUUCGUAGAUAUUCGGAAGAACACCAGUGGCGAAGGCGGCUUACUGGCUCAUUCUAGACGCUGAGGUGCGAAAGCGUGGGGAGCAAACGGGAUUAGAUACCCCCGUAGUCCCUGUCUCUUAUAC